RNAcentral lists this ribosomal RNA (2078 nucleotides) under Parvicellularium leonardi. RNAcentral's name for it is "LSU rRNA". It matches the Rfam family "Eukaryotic large subunit ribosomal RNA", at positions 85 to 2199 of the family's 3401-position model. The record is from RNAcentral. Lineage: Eukaryota; Rhodophyta; Florideophyceae; Corallinales; Corallinaceae.
AGCGGCGAGCGAAGCGAGAAUAGACCGAGAUGAAAAUCUCUUCGGAGAAUUGUAAUCUGGACAAUGUUGAGUAUUCAGUGAGUGUAAGUCACAUGGAAAUGUGUACCGUGGAGGGUGAGAGUCCCGUCCGGCAUUCACACGAAAUCUCGUACGACAUUGUUUCAACCGAGUCGGGUAGCUUGAGAACGCUGCUCUAAUGGGUGGUAAACCUCAUCCAAGUCUAAAUACUGGUGGGAGACCGAUAGCGAACAAGUACCGUGAGGGAAAGAUGAGAAGCACUUUGAAAAGAGAGUGAAAAGAACCUGAAACUGCCACGGGGGAAGCGGAUUGUAUCAGUGUGGUGCGGCCUCUGUUCAGCAAACUCUGCCUAGUCGGGGAAUAAAGAUACGGUGGAAAGAUUUGUGUAUUCAGCGCUAGCCGCGUGGGAAUGGCUGGUCGAAUUCGGGAACAAGCGGAUUCGGCUGGUGAGGGCUCCCUUUUAUUAGGUGAGGAUUUCCACGAAAUGAUGCGAUUCGACCCGUCUUGAAACACGGACCAAGGAGUUUAGUAUUACUGCGAGUCGAAGAGUGUGAAAACUCAGAGGCGAAGUGAAAGCGAAAAUUUGAAGAUUUCAUUCUAUCAGAUUGAGGAGGUGUUGCGUCGUUGACAAAAUAUCUUACCUAGAGCAGUAAUGCUGAGACCCGAAAGAUGGUGAACUAUGCUUGAGUAGGGCAAAGCCAGAGGAAACUCUGGUGGAGGCUCGUAGCGAUGCUGACGUGCAAAUCGCUCGUCGAACUUGAGUAUAGGGGCGAAAGACUAAUCGAACCAUCUAGUAGCUGGUUCCCUCCGAAGUUUCUCUCAGGAUAGCAGGCUGACAUGAGUAAAAUUGUUUUGUGUGGUAAAGCGAAUGAUUAGCGUAUUUGGGAAAGUAAUUUUUUCGGUCGAUUCUCAAACUUUAAAUACGCAAGUUCAGAGUGGGUUGCUUAAUUGAACCUCUCUCUUCGGGAUUAAUGAAUUGAAAAUGUCGGCUUAGUGGGCCACUUUUGGUAAGCAGAACUGGCGAUAUGGGAUGAACCAUGAGUUUGGUUAAGGCGUCAAAAUAUUGGCUUAAAGAUCCCACAAAAGGUGUUGGUUCAUCUAGACAGCAGGACGGUGGCCAUGGAAGUCGGAAUCCGCUAAGGAGUGUGUAACAACUCACCUGCCGAAUGAACUAGCCCUGAAAAUGGAUGACGCUUAAGCCGAUUGCCGACACCGAACCGUUUUGGUAAGAAGCGACCAAAAUGAGUAGGAGGGCGUGGCGGUUUUGUAUUGAAGGGUAUGACGCAAGUCUGCCUGGAACGGCCGUUAGUGCAGAUCUUGGUGGUAGUAGCAAAUAUUCAAACGAGAUCCUUGAAGGGUGAAGCGGGGAAGGGUUCCACGCGAACAUUGAUUGGGCGUGGGUGAGUCGUUCCUAAGCCGGGUGGUAAUCGUUCUUUGCGAUCGGCGAAAGGGAAGCGGGUUAAAAUUCUCGCACACGGAUGUGGAGGCGGUGACGCGAAUUGAGGUGGAGACGUUAGCGUUGGCACUAGGCAGAGUUGUCUUUUCUGUUUAACCUAUUCUAGUACUCUGUGGAAUCCGAUUAUCGGGAGAAACAGGUGCGCCUAUGGGAAGAGCGUCGAGGUGUCCUCGGCGUCUAGUAUGCCAACGAUAGCCCUUGAAAAUCCAUCUGCGAUGUAAUUUCACGCCGUGACGUACCGAUAACCGCAGCAGGUCCCCAAGGUGAACAGCCUCUACUCAAUAUGAACAAUGCAGGUAAGGGAAGUCGGCAAAAUAGACCCGUAACUUUGGGAAAAGGGUUGGCUCUAGUGGGGUGAGGGGAGUGUGUCGUCGCUUCGCAGUGAUGAUGCGCACAGAGUGUUAACUGGUUGAUGCUCGCGGACUGGUGCGAGUUAAAAUUGAGAAAUCGAUUUUCGACUCUAUCCGGAUUGUGAGAUUGUCGACUGUUUUCGUUCGACCUUCAGCAUGCUCCAAACUAGAACUGCAACGGGCAAAGGGAAUCCGACUGUUUAAUUAAAACAAAGCAUUGUGAUGGCCGAGUCGUGUAGACGCAUGUGAUUUCG